CGGGGAGUGAUGCCUGCAGGAUGACAGGGCGACAGAAGAAUGUGUUAAACAUAUGGAGUAUGGAAGAAGAAGGAGAGGGGAGAUAGGAUUUUUAUGUUAUAGAUUGGAAGAAGACACUCUUGAUGAAGGAGAUGUUUUUACUUUGGAGAAGGACUGCCUCAGCCGCGAAAGACCAAGGGGUGGCACCACAGGGAGAAGUCUGCACUGCGCUUGUCAGGACGGCCAGUGGGGGGCUGCUGAGCGCAGGGAGUCAGUCCUCGCAAUGAAGAUAUAGUCUCGGGGAGAUAAUGCUGGAAAUCGAUGGAAGAAGUGGAACAGGACACAAAUUUAGUGGAAUUUCUUUACAAUGUGUGCUUCUUGUCACCAGUUCAUUAACCAUGAUAAAAACGGUUAUGUUGUUACAUUCAUCAAGAUCCAAAUUUUCUACCAUUUUAAGAUGUCUAUCAGUCACAAUGAUGAUCACUGAAGACCGAACGAGAUCAUUUCCUCUAAAAAUUAUGUUACAUUAACCCAUAAUGGCAUCAGUGUCUGUUACACGUUUGCUUUAAUUUUGAGGUCAAAUACGACAUUUGUAAAUCUAGCACUUCAU
RNAcentral lists this long non-coding RNA (589 nucleotides) under Pan troglodytes (chimpanzee). RNAcentral's name for it is "long non-coding RNA NONPTRT014868". Lineage: Eukaryota; Metazoa; Chordata; Mammalia; Primates; Hominidae. The record is from RNAcentral.